UACGGCGGGGGCUAGCGUUGUUCGGACUUAAUGGGCGUAACGCGCACGUAGGCGGCUUUGUAAGUUAGAGGUGAAAGCCCGGAGCUCAACUUCGGAAUUGCCUUUAAGACUGCAUCGCUUGAAUCAUGGAGAGGUCAGUGGAAUUCCGAGUGUAGAGGUGAAAUUCGUAGAUAUUCGGAAGAACACCAGUGGCGAAGGCGACUGACUGGACAUGUAUUGACGCUGAGGUGCGAAAGCGUGGGGAGCAAACAGG
Molecule: ribosomal RNA, 253 nt
Filed under: uncultured bacterium
Lineage: Bacteria
Description: partial 16S ribosomal RNA
Rfam family: Bacterial small subunit ribosomal RNA
Source: RNAcentral